UCCCCGAGCCCCAGCUUGCCAGGCAGGGACUCCCUGGGCGGGCGGCGGGGAAGCGCCGAGUCGGCGGCCGCCCACACCCCUCUCCACGCAGCACAAAGGACACUCGCCGGCAAACUUUCCUCGCUUCUGACCCGGGCCGAGCCGGGAACUCAGCGCCAGCUCUGUUCCUGGCGGGGCUGAGGCUUCCCUCACAUUCCAGGCCACCUGGCAAACGUCCUGAGGCUGCCACUCCUUCUGGGCUCAAGGCUCACGGGCUGAGGUCUGUCCCCGCGUGGAGCUCAAGGCUCACGGGCUGAGUCUGUCCCCGCGUGGAGCUCAAGGCUCACGGGCUGAGGUCUGUCCCCGCGUGGAGCUCAAGGCUCACGGGCUGAGGUCUGUCCCCGCGUGGACCGCCGAGAGUUCGGUAGAUCCUUCCCAAGGCUCUGACUUCAAUACUUUCAGUGCCUUGUCAAUUAUACCCCUUGCCCCUUUCUCUUACCAAGGCCACCGCCAAGACACCCUUUUUCUUUCCUCUCCCCGUCGCCCGCCACCUUCCUUGCCCUCCUCUUGGCCCUCUUUCCAGCUCCCUGGGCCCCCUUUCCGCGCUGCUCUCCAGCCCCAGCUGCCUU
Molecule: long non-coding RNA, 608 nt
Filed under: Homo sapiens (human)
Lineage: Eukaryota; Metazoa; Chordata; Mammalia; Primates; Hominidae
Description: non-protein coding lnc-SUMF1-2:1
Source: RNAcentral